This 581-nucleotide ribosomal RNA is filed under the name Staphylococcus agnetis. RNAcentral's name for it is "partial 23S ribosomal RNA". It matches the Rfam family "Bacterial large subunit ribosomal RNA", at positions 2345 to 2925 of the family's 2925-position model. Lineage: Bacteria; Bacillati; Bacillota; Bacilli; Caryophanales; Staphylococcaceae. The record is from RNAcentral.
CUGAGUGUAAAGGCAUAAGGGAGCUUGACUGCGAGACCUACAAGUCGAGCAGGGUCGAAAGACGGACUUAGUGAUCCGGUGGUUCCGCAUGGAAGGGCCAUCGCUCAACGGAUAAAAGCUACCCCGGGGAUAACAGGCUUAUCUCCCCCAAGAGUUCACAUCGACGGGGAGGUUUGGCACCUCGAUGUCGGCUCAUCGCAUCCUGGGGCUGUAGUCGGUCCCAAGGGUUGGGCUGUUCGCCCAUUAAAGCGGUACGCGAGCUGGGUUCAGAACGUCGUGAGACAGUUCGGUCCCUAUCCGUCGUGGGCGUAGGAAAUUUGAGAGGAGCUGUCCUUAGUACGAGAGGACCGGGAUGGACAUACCUCUGGUGUACCAGUUGUCGUGCCAACGGCAUAGCUGGGUAGCUAUGUAUGGACGGGAUAAGUGCUGAAAGCAUCUAAGCAUGAAGCCCCCCUCAAGAUGAGAUUUCCCAACUUCGGUUAUAAGAUCCCUCAAAGAUGAUGAGGUUAAUAGGUUCGAGGUGGAAGCGUAGCGAUACGUGGAGCUGACGAAUACUAAUCGAUCGAAGACUUAAUCAAUUU